AUAUCAAUAAGCGGAGGAAAAGAAACCAACCGGGAUUGCCUCAGUAACGGCGAGUGAAGCGGCAAGAGCUCAAAUUUGAAAUCUGGCCCCUCCGGGGUCCGAGUUGUAAUUUGCAGAGGAUGCUUCGGGUGCGGCCCCUGUCUAAGUGCCCUGGAACGGGCCGUCAGAGAGGGUGAGAAUCCCGUCUUGGGCAGGGUGCCCGUGCCCGUGUGAAGCUCCUUCGACGAGUCGAGUUGUUUGGGAAUGCAGCUCUAAAUGGGUGGUAAAUUUCAUCUAAAGCUAAAUACCGGCCGGAGACCGAUAGCGCACAAGUAGAGUGAUCGAAAGAUGAAAAGCACUUUGAAAAGAGAGUUAAACAGCACGUGAAAUUGUUGAAAGGGAAGCGCUUGCGACCAGACUCGGCCCCGGGGUUCAGCCAGCACUCGUGCUGGUGUACUUCCCCGGGGGCGGGCCAGCGUCGGUUUGGGCGGCCGGUCAAAGGCCCCAGGAAUGUGUCGCCCUCCGGGGCGUCUUAUAGCCUGGGGUGCAAUGCGGCCAGCCCGGACCGAGGAACGCGCUUCGGCACGGACGCUGGCGUAAUGGUCGCAAACGACCCGUCUUGAAACACGGACCAAGGAGUCUAACAUCUACGCGAGUGUUCGGGUGUCAAACCCGUACGCGCAGUGAAAGCGAACGGAGGUGGGAGCCCCGCAAGGGGCGCACCAUCGACCGAUCCUGAUGUCUUCGGAUGGAUUUGAGUAAGAGCGUAGCUGUGGGGACCCGAAAGAUGGUGAACUAUGCCUGAAUAGGGCGAAGCCAGAGGAAACUCUGGUGGAGGCUCGCAGCGGUUCUGACGUGCAAAUCGAUCGUCAAAUUUGGGUAUAGGGGCGAAAGACUAAUCGAACCAUCUGGUAGCUGGUUCCUGCCGAAGUUUCCCUCAGGAUAGCAGUAACGCGGAUCAGUUUUAUGAGGUAAAGCGAAUGAUUAGAGGCAUUGGGGUUGAAACAACCUUAACCUAUUCUCAAACUUUAAAUAUGUAAGAAGCCCUUGUUUCUUAGUUGAACGUGGGCAUUAGAAUGGAGCGUUACUAGUGGGCCAUUUUUGGUAAGCAGAACUGGCGAUGCGGGAUGAACCGAACGCGAGGUUAAGGUGCCGGAAUGCACGCUCAUCAGACACCACAAAAGGUGUUAGUUCAUCUAGACAGCCCGACGGUGGCCAUGGAAGUCGGAAUCCGCUAAGGAGUGUGUAACAACUCACGGGCCGAAUGAACUAGCCCUGAAAAUGGAUGGCGCUCAAGCGUGCUACCCAUACCUC
Molecule: ribosomal RNA, 1293 nt
Filed under: Eurotiomycetes sp. genotype 44
Lineage: Eukaryota; Fungi; Ascomycota; Eurotiomycetes
Description: LSU rRNA
Rfam family: Eukaryotic large subunit ribosomal RNA
Source: RNAcentral